GCCCUGGUGGUGGAAUUGGUAGACACAAGGGAUUUAAAAUCCCUCGGCGUUCGCGCUGUGCCGGUUCAAGUUCGGCCCGGGGCACCA
This 87-nucleotide transfer RNA is filed under the name Vibrio parahaemolyticus. RNAcentral's name for it is "tRNA-Leu". It matches the Rfam family "tRNA". From Rfam's summary of the family: Transfer RNA (tRNA) molecules are approximately 80 nucleotides in length. Their secondary structure includes four short double-helical elements and three loops (D, anti-codon, and T loops). The record is from RNAcentral. Lineage: Bacteria; Pseudomonadati; Pseudomonadota; Gammaproteobacteria; Vibrionales; Vibrionaceae.